RNAcentral lists this non-coding RNA (46 nucleotides) under Mytilus galloprovincialis (Mediterranean mussel). It matches the Rfam family "Histone 3' UTR stem-loop". From Rfam's summary of the family: The mRNAs of metazoan histone genes lack a poly-A tail. Lineage: Eukaryota; Metazoa; Mollusca; Bivalvia; Mytilida; Mytilidae. The record is from RNAcentral.
CAAACGGCCCUUUUCAGGGCCACAAAUUUGUUACAGAAAGAGUCCU